AGUUCCUCGCAGAAAAUACCGCUAACGCCACAGAAUCAUCUCUGCGAGCAAAUUAGAACCUCGCCUCCCGCCUAGUUGGUGCAGUGUUUGGAGUCUCUCAUACACACAGAAAAAUAUAUAUUCCGCGGAACGAUAGCUGCCGCUUGUGACAGCCGAUCCGUCGCAGCGGCGUACGAUGUUCAGGGAAAGUCUGUUACUCCACUACGCAGUACGACGUUUGCCAAUGGCGGUGAGUAUAAGGUCUUCCAGGUUGCUGGCGCUUGCUGUGCUGUUCCUCGGCUGUGUCACUGUCCUGCUGUUCCUAAGACGCGGAUACAACAGCGUGGCCUGGAUCGCGGACUCAAGCGUGGCCUGGCUGCCCGAACCACUCCGUGCUACGAAAGCUUCCCCAGUCAUCGACACUCUUCGGGACCUGAACUGGACAACCUGCCCGAGUGAGAACGAAGUCCAGUCGGAGCACUACUUUCGUCUUUGGGACGAAAUGCUCGGGCAAGCGCUGCGAAUGUCGACAGAAGGGCUCCCUAGGACAGAGCGAGAGUCGUGGAAUGCUGUGACGGACAACAUCCACGUCUUCUCCGCCUUCCUCGUCAACACCACGGAGCACGCGAUUCACAUCACCAGCCUCGUCCGAAGCCACGAGCC
Long non-coding RNA from Rhipicephalus microplus (southern cattle tick), 642 nucleotides. The record is from RefSeq and is a predicted model, not a curated record. Lineage: Eukaryota; Metazoa; Arthropoda; Arachnida; Ixodida; Ixodidae.